GAGCACAGAAGCUCAGUUGGUGGAAUGCAUGGCUGUCUGUCAAGCUGUGAGUUGGAGAAAAUGUGCUUAUUUUUGCUUUGCAGGAAUGUAUACCAACGUGGGCCGACUGUUCUGCCUGACUUCUCAAAAGAAACAAACAAACAAACAAAAGUUAUGUGUGAAGUUUUCCAAUUUUUAAAUUAUUGACAAGAAAUUCAAUUUCCUUUGAAAACAAAAAGCCACUAAGAGGACAAGUUAAAUCACGAAUGGAUUGAAAUUGGCCGAUGGUCCCUGUGGGCACUCUGGUUGAGUCAGACUAGAGUCUGAAUUGCCAUCCAUACUCUGUGUAAAUACCGGUGUGCUUAGGUUACUGUUAUAUAUGCUAAGUUACACGUCAGGUAUUUUCCAUUGCAUGUGAUCUAGAAAGAGCCUAGGCUUCAGACAAAUACUCCAGGUCAUGUGUCUGCCACCUCUUAAAUGUAUGGCUUUGAGAAAAUCACUUGAACUCUCAGCUCGUGUUUGUGGGUGGAAUGGAGACAUAUGUAAUACCCUUCUGUGAUCCUGUGAUGUUCUCGGGAGAAUUAGAAAUUGUUUCUAGAGAGUGCCUGUAACAUAGGGAGCAUCCAGUGGGCACUCAGAAGAAGGAUCUGGGGACUGUGUGGUGUUCGUUUCUCUUACCCCAAGUUCACCAGGAAGACAGGAUCACUCCACAGAAGCAAGGGGGAGAGGCAGAGACAUCACUGAUGGUCCUGGACCUAGAGAAUGCUAAUAGGGUCAGAAGAAUGUGAU
This 768-nucleotide long non-coding RNA is filed under the name Marmota monax (woodchuck). Lineage: Eukaryota; Metazoa; Chordata; Mammalia; Rodentia; Sciuridae. The record is from RNAcentral.